Long non-coding RNA from Rhipicephalus sanguineus (brown dog tick), 530 nucleotides. RefSeq lists it as uncharacterized. The record is from RefSeq and is a predicted model, not a curated record. Lineage: Eukaryota; Metazoa; Arthropoda; Arachnida; Ixodida; Ixodidae. The transcript is spliced from 3 exons.
UUCGUGCGGUGCGUAGAAGUGUACAGGGCUGCGGUUUUCACAUCGUGAUUCUGUGUUCCGCAUCCGCAGAAAACUCUUCGUUUUCGAUGGUGAGGUUUUGUUCGGUGCCGCAAUGCCGUACAUACUGCACAGAGCCAGGGAUAAGCUUCCAUUUCUGUCCCACCGAGACGGAACGUCGUCGAGUUUGGCUCGGUAGGCCUCGUAACGGCAAGACGCCUUCCAAGUACGGGAUGGUGCGCAGCAAGCACUUCGACGACGGUGCAGUCAAGCGUUCGCGGACGAGAAAGGUUGAGCUUUAAAUCCAUCCAGACCCAUUUUGGCGACAAGAGGACCAUCAUUGCCAUAGGACUGUACGAUUACAGCGAAGGAGACGCGUGGAAGACGUACAAGAAAGUCAUCCAGGAGGUGGUCAACACUUACAAAGCCGACACCGUCAUCGCCAUUACCUCGGCAACUCCAAUGAAGAGCGAGGCCGACUGUUACGCCGCACCUCCGACUGCCCUCUUCUCUGCGGAUCCGAGGUUCAUUGG